AAGAGAGAGAGGGAGAGGCAAUGUUGCCACAUGGCUACGAUGCUGUGAAGUUGCUUUGCCUCGCACCGAAGAUGCUUUCGAGAUAUAUCGAGUUAUAGCGAUUACCAGAUCGUGCAAUAGUUUCGCUAACGACAGUGAAUAUUUAAAACAGGAAUCGUUCUCUGACCACUGACAAGAGAUAGUUUCAGUUAUCAUUUUGGAUCAAGGUAACAGAGUAUUCUCAGGUCUAAUGAAGCUGAAGGAAAAGGAGAAAAUUGUUUACGAAAAGACGAUAGAUAAAUAGUAGCCUAGACACUUUAGGCGAUUUACCGACGAUAGAGUUCGAACUUCUCAGAUUCGAAAUAGAAAAAUCAGCGCUAAACAUUGCGGAAUUAAGAAAUAUUACGCCACUACGCAGUAACAGUAGAUUAGCAUUCAACGGUUACGUCAAAGUAUCAACAAUUAUUUCAUCUGAAUGGUAUUCAAAUAGAAUAUAAAACAUCAACCGACGGUUUGACUUUGCCUGUGUUUACUGGGAGACGGACAAUACAAAUAGAGAAGGACGGAAACUUAGCAGAGAGAAUAGAACAGGCUUUCAAGAAGCGAAGAUUGAACAAA
This is a long non-coding RNA of Bombus terrestris (buff-tailed bumblebee), 597 nucleotides long. RefSeq lists it as uncharacterized. NCBI's taxonomy places the organism in Eukaryota, Metazoa, Arthropoda, Insecta, Hymenoptera, Apidae. The record is from RefSeq and is a predicted model, not a curated record. The transcript has 3 exons.